RNAcentral lists this small RNA (98 nucleotides) under Staphylococcus aureus subsp. aureus H19. Its description in RNAcentral is "Staphylococcus sRNA sau-5971". It matches the Rfam family "Staphylococcus sRNA sau-5971". Lineage: Bacteria; Bacillati; Bacillota; Bacilli; Caryophanales; Staphylococcaceae. The record is from Rfam by way of RNAcentral.
GAGGAAAGAGACUUAUAGGUCUCGCGAGUUAUUUUAAUUCGUAUGCAAAGAAAAAGAAGAGCUAUGCAUUUUAUUUAAAAUGCGUAGUUUCUUUUUUU